RNAcentral lists this ribosomal RNA (253 nucleotides) under uncultured bacterium. RNAcentral's name for it is "partial 16S ribosomal RNA". It matches the Rfam family "Bacterial small subunit ribosomal RNA", at positions 524 to 776 of the family's 1533-position model. The record is from RNAcentral.
UACGGGGGGGGCAAGCGUUGUUCGGAAUUACUGGGCGUAAAGGGCUCGUAGGUGGCCAACUAAGUCGGACGUGAAAUCCCUCGGCUUAACUGGGGAACUGCGUCCGAUACUGGAUGGCUUGAGUUUGGGAGAGGGAUGCGGAAUUCCAGGUGUAGCGGUGAAAUGCGUAGAUAUCUGGAGGAACACCGGUGGCGAAGGCGGCAUCCUGGACCAACACUGACACUGAGGAGCGAAAGCCAGGGGAGCAAACGGG